Molecule: ribosomal RNA, 468 nt
Filed under: uncultured bacterium
Lineage: Bacteria
Description: partial 16S ribosomal RNA
Rfam family: Bacterial small subunit ribosomal RNA
Source: RNAcentral
GACGAACGCUGGCGGCGUGCUUAACACAUGCAAGUCGAACGGAAAGGCCCUGCUUUUGUGGGGUGCUCGAUUGGCGAACGGGUGAGUAACACGUGAGUAACCUGCCCUUGUCUUUGGGAUAACUUCAGGAAACUGGGGCUAAUACCCGAUAGGAGCUCCUGCUGCAUGGUGGUGGUUGGAAAGUUUCGGCGGUUGGGGAUGGACUCGCGGCUUAUCAGCUUGUUGGUGGGGUAGUGGCUUACCAAGGCUUUGACGGGUAGCCGGCCUGAGAGGGUGACCGGCCACAUUGGGACUGAGAUACGGCCCAGACUCCUACGGGAGGCAGCAGUGGGGAGUAUUGCACAAUGGGCGGAAGCCUGAUGCAGCAACGCCGCGUGCGGGAUGACGGCCUUCGGGUUGUAAACCGCUUUCGCCUGUGACGAAGCGUGAGUGACGGUAAUGGGUAAAGAAGCACCGGCUAACUACGUG